Alligator mississippiensis (American alligator) is the source of this 2472-nucleotide long non-coding RNA. RefSeq lists it as uncharacterized. NCBI's taxonomy places the organism in Eukaryota, Metazoa, Chordata, Crocodylia, Alligatoridae. The transcript is spliced from 2 exons. The record is from RefSeq and is a predicted model, not a curated record.
GCUCCACGCCUCCGCGUGCAGAACGGCCGCGCAUGCGCGCCGGCGCCGCUGAAGCCUCUGCCCGCAGGGGUUGUGCCCGUGUCACAGCCGGGCGCCCCCUCUCGGGCUCCUGCCCCGCGCCCGGCUGAGCCCAGGGGAGGGGCCCAGGCACUUGGCACGUGUCUACUGCUAAUACUGACACGUGCGAAGCGGCAGAGCCAGGCCCUGCCCUGCCCUGCCCCACUCCACAGCAUCACCCCACACCUGACACAAAGCGUUCCUGGGCGCGGCGGGGACGGGGGCGCUGUGGGGCGGCGCGAGGAAGGGCCAGAGCAGGGCUGCCCCGACCCCCGGCCCUGCCCGCAGGUUGGCGCAGAUCAGCCUGAAGAGCUACGACCCGCCGAAGGACGAGCGCUGCUCCUGCACCGUCGAGUCGGGCCCUAGGGGUGCCCGGGCGGGUCGGCCCCGGCUGCACGGACCCCCACCCUGGGGCCCUCGCCGUGAGGGGAGGUGCGGGCAGACACCUCAGAGCCGGGGCACGUGCCGGCAGCCGUGGCCAGGUGUCGUGGUCACGGUCUCCCAUCGAGGCGUGUCGCGCCAGCCGUGCUGCCUCCCUUUGCAGGGUCAAGGUCUUGGCGUGCGCGCCAGGGGACCGGCAGCACCGCGAUGAGGCCACAGCCGUGGACCUCCUGCACGUGGACAUCGAGGCCCUGCGGACGCUCGACAAGAACAACCAGCGGGGCGAGUGGCCUGGCCACGAGCUGGCGUUGCCACGACAGCCUCCUUCCCCAUCCUCCAUCGGGGUGCACGUCGGACACGGCCCCGCAGCAGGACUCGAACCCGCAGCCUCAGCAGGCAGCGAGCUUCAAAGCUUUUAGCCGGAGGCGAGGCCGGGUUCUUGAAAACAACCGUGGUUAAAUGCAAUGAGUGCAGCUCGACGGCUGUCGCUGUCUGGGCUGCGGUCGGACCGGCUUGCAGGUCCUAGAGGCAGGCUGCUGGUUUCUAGCUGGAUGUAGGAAAGGAGCGUGGCCUUUCCGCCUCGACUUCCCCUCGGGUACGUCUGCCGCACCUCCUGCUGCUGCUCAGGGAGCGAGCGUGCGGUGCCACUGGCCGAGUAACGCUCGAGGAGGAAUUUAGUCAAGGAGAAAGUGCAGCUAAGAAGUACGAUGCCUUCCUAGCCUCGGAGUCCCUCAUCAGGCAGAUUCCUCGUAUCCUGGGUCCGGGUCUAAACAAAGCGGGCCAGUUUCCCUUUCUCCUCAUGCACAACGAGACCCUGGUGGCCAAGGUGAGAUCUACCAUCAAAUUUCCCAUGAAGGUAAAUGCAGGAACCUGAAACCCAGCAGCCAGUGGCCUGGUGGCAGUGUGCCAGUCACUUGGCUAUGUACAUCAGGGCUAGACUGCAGGUGUCCAGCUUCUUCCUCCAAGGACUGCCAGUAAUAUUCAUCUAAUGAAUCACUUGCUGUGUAUUUAAGGAAUAGUCCAGAGCAUUCUUUUGUUACCCCAAAGGGAGAAGGAAAGUUUUUUGAAAGACAUCAAACACAUGAUUUGGGGAAGAGACCUAUAUUGCAAUGGGCUGGGUGCCAUCGAGGCUUAUUGAUGUCAGUGGGAGCCGAGGGCAUCUUGCAUAGUAAAAGGUACUGACCUUGCAGGAAUAUGGCCAGCUUUCAGUGAGACGUUAGAAGAGGUUUGCACCACACAGAUGAAUGCAGCACUGCACCUGUGGUUUCAGACAUGGUGAAAGAGGUGUUGGAUUACUUAUUAGGUCAAAGCAACCCCGAUUCAGAGAUUUGUUCUUGAUCAGUCUGGUGCGCCACUCAUCCAAGCUUUACUGUCAAUCAUUCUCCAAGGCAUUAGGGAUAUGUUUGGGGGCUUUGCUAAGUCAGGCUUGAUUCAGAGCGAGUCUGCCUAAAGAGCACUAUUCCUGAUCAGCCUGCAUUGGUCAACUGCAAGCCAGUUGUUGAAUGUAUUGAAGCCAGCUGGCAUGAGCUACACAGUGACAUGAACUGAAAGGUCUGAUAAGGCAAGGGAUGGAGGUUUUUAAAAUGCCUCACUGAAUAUAUGUUGCAUUACUGGAUCCAUUCUCUGUAAAGCUUCAACAGUUCAGAAUUGCUACAGUACGGUUUGCAGGUUAAAGAACUGGGGACGUUUUAAACCCACUGGUGAGUUCUCCCCUGAAAUCUGGCAAAGCUGCAUCACCCUGGGGGUUUUCCUGGUAGCUGCUUGUGCCCUGAGGUGCCAUAGUUUUUUCACAUGCCUAAUUCAGCAUCCCUUGCAAAAUCUACUGCUAAUAUUGAAUGAGUGACCUUGCUGUCCCUGUGCUCUGCCUGGCUUGUGAAGAUGACCGAGGAUGGGCUAUAACAUUCACCUGGCCAUCAACUUCCUGGUGUUCUUGCUGAAGAACUGGCAGAACAUGCGUGUGUUAUAUACCAAGAGCACCCUGGGGAAGCUGCAGCACCUCUACUAAGCGGGCAACAAUAAACGGUUAUAGAGCAA